GGGGAAUAUUGCGCAAUGGGGGGAACCCUGACGCAGCGACGCCGCGUGAAGGAAGAAGGUCUUCGGAUUGUAAACUUCUUUGGUCGGGGACGAAACCUGACGGUACCCGAUAAAAAAGCCACGGCUAACUACGUGCCAGCAGCCGCGGUAAUACGUAGGUGGCAAGCGUUGUCCGGAAUUACUGGGUGUAAAGGGCGUGUAGGCGGGGAUGCAAGUCAGAUGUGAAACCCCACGGCUCAACCGUGGGCUUGCAUCUGAAACUGUGUUUCUUGAGUGUUGGAGAGGGAAGUGGAAUUCCUAGUGUAGCGGUGAAAUGCGUAGAGAUUAGGAGGAACACCAGUGGCGAAGGCGACUUCCUGGCCAACAACUGACGCUGAGGCGCGAAAGCGUGGGGAGCAAAC
RNAcentral lists this ribosomal RNA (401 nucleotides) under uncultured bacterium. RNAcentral describes it as "bacterial SSU rRNA". It matches the Rfam family "Bacterial small subunit ribosomal RNA", at positions 356 to 773 of the family's 1533-position model. The record is from RNAcentral.